Schistosoma mattheei is the source of this 45-nucleotide non-coding RNA. Lineage: Eukaryota; Metazoa; Platyhelminthes; Trematoda; Strigeidida; Schistosomatidae. The record is from Rfam.
AUCCAACUGACGAGUCCUAAAUAAGGCGAAAUGCACUUCCUAGAU